RNAcentral lists this ribosomal RNA (403 nucleotides) under uncultured bacterium. RNAcentral describes it as "partial 16S ribosomal RNA". It matches the Rfam family "Bacterial small subunit ribosomal RNA", at positions 30 to 526 of the family's 1533-position model. The record is from RNAcentral.
AUUGAACGCUGGCGGCCGGCCUAACACCUGCAAGUCGAGCGCGCGGCGGACGGGUGAGUAAUGUAGGGGGACUGCCCGAUAGAGGGGUGUAACUACUGGAAACGGUCGCUAAUACAGCAUACUGACGGCGCAACCAACUGGGAUUAGCUAGUAGGUAAGGUAAUGGCUUACCUAGGCGACGAUCCCUAGCUGGGCUGAGAGGAUGAUCCGCCACACUGGGACGGAGACACGGCCCAGACUCCUACGGAGGCAGCAGUGGGGAAUAUUGCACAAUGGGCGCAAGCCUGAUGCAGCCAUGUCGCGUGUAUGAAGAAGGCCCUAGGGUUGUAAAGUACUUUCAGUCGGGAGGCGUUACCGACAGAAGAAGCACCGGCUAACUCCGUGCCAGCCGCCGCGGUAAUUC